Trachemys scripta elegans is the source of this 2185-nucleotide long non-coding RNA. RefSeq lists it as uncharacterized. NCBI's taxonomy places the organism in Eukaryota, Metazoa, Chordata, Testudines, Emydidae. The record is from RefSeq and is a predicted model, not a curated record. The transcript is spliced from 4 exons.
AGGGCGGGGUUGGUCCCACCUUCUGCAGAGAGGGGAUGCAGGGGGGGUUGGCUUGGCUCCGCAAAGCUCCCCAGGGGCUCCCUGUGGAGUGAGGCGGAGUAGGGGUGUGGUAUCCCAACCUCUCGCGUAACAGCCCCAGAUCCUUGCAGCCCAGCUCAUCGGUCCUGAAAGCCCAUCGUGGGCCCAGGGCGCAAGUCCUCGCCCCUCCGAGCUACAGCACCGUGACACAGUAACACAGGCAGCCCAUGGGCAUAGUGCUGGGCAAGCCCCACAAACCAGGGGCACGCCUCAUCUGGGACAAGGGCUAGCUCCCCAAAUGUGCCAGCAUGGUCAGCAGCACAUCCAGCCCUCCCUGCUUCACCUCACAGCCUUCAUUAGUGUGUAUCCAUUCACAGAGUUCAAGCGUAGGCUAGUGGCCUCCCAGUGACAUAAAAAUGGUCCAAAGAGGCUACCAGCUCCCAAUACAUCAAAACAAGAGGGUAGCACACAACAAAGUUUCAGAGUGGUAUCUGGGUUAGUCUGUAUCACCAAAAACAAAAACUCCAUUGAGGGUGCAGGUUUUGCAAAGUGAAUGCCGCACAGCCCGUGUCUUGGUCCAGCCACCAUUGAAGGGCUCUGAUUAAUGCCAGCAGAAGUAUGACGACUUUGUCUAGCGGGUGAUGACCUGGUAUGUAUACCAAUGCCAGUCAUAAUUGGAGAGGCUGCAGCCUGAGUCAUUUAUGCUGCACCACAUAAGUGCAAGAGGCCAUGUGCCCCAGGAGCUUCAGGCAGCACCUUGCCAUGAUGUACAACAGGACCUUUUACGUCCUCCGGUGCCAGCGGAUCACCCAUAAGUGUGACCUGAGAGUCUCGGACUUCUGCCCUGGGAAAGGAACCCCUCUCCGACCGGGACGGCAAAGGUCCCCUCGUCUCUGAGGCUGUUGAGUUUUAUUUGUAGGAAGAAGAUCACUACAGGGUAUUGCUUGCUGAGCAAGAGAUAAGAGCGGAAAGAAGGAACUGAGGAGGCAACGGGCAGAUGCCUAUAUACUGGACCAUGGAGGCGCCACUCUAGAGUCAACCUGAUGGAUACCACUAGGAGAAAAAUGUCCUGCAACGGUGCAGGCGAUGCGCACACUCCUCUGUUGGAAUGGACAUGAGCAAGCACUCAAAGAAGAAUCAUAAGUAACAUCAGUCAUUUUGCCAGUAUCCCAGAGGGACCUCUAGAGAGCAGCUUUUCUCAUUAGCCAGAGAGAGUCAGUUCCAAACCUUUAGUAGUCAUAAACCUGCCUUAUAUCAUCUCAUUUCCUGUUUGCAGAACUCAGCUCUCAUUCCUAACUGCCAUGGAUCCCUUCCUUCUAGCUUUCCAUCCUUUUUCCUGUUUCAAGGCAUGUCAGCCAAAUCAAUCUCCUUUGCACUCCUAGCACUGAGGAGGAAAAGAAUAAUGGCUCUCGGCCAGACUGUAAACCCCCUAUUCACAAGAGUGACCUAAUUCCAAUGGGACUACUCAUAUGAGUAAGGCCAAGUCUACACCUAAAAAUUAGCUUGACCUAGCUACAUCAUUCAGGGCUGUGAAAAAUGUUGCACUCUGUGCAAUGUAGUGAGGUCCAUCUAAUCCACACUGUAGAAGCAAUUAAGUGAAUGGAAGGAUUCUUUCACCUCUCAGAGAGGUGCUGGUUCCAGGACCCCUUGCAACCCUGUCUACUUUAAGCACUGGCUGUCUGCAGGUAAUGCUGAACGGAGUUCUCAAGAGAGUGGUAUCUGCUAUUUGGCUGGGGAUAGUGGGCAGCCCUCUCUUCACAGUGAGCAGUGCAAGGCUGAUUAGGUUUGCUGCACUUGGGCAGGAAAUUCUGGGACAUUGGGCCAAAUGGCUGAAGUGGCUGGGUAGGUUUUAUAGAUUGGCUGGAGGGAGAAACAUUCAGGGAGGUUUCUUCGGCCUGGGAUUUCUCGGUGAUACAGCAACCUGCAAUGGAAACAAGAUUGUUUCUUUGUUUCUUUUAGCCUGCUCAUUGGAAGGACUUGGCUAUGCUGAAUGCAGCUUGUGCUGACCACGGGGGGGCCAGAGAUCUGCCCACAGGCUUCCUCAGCUUGUCUUCCCAAAUGCUAGAAUUGCUGCUGUGAACAAAUGUGGUUUCCAUGCUGGCCAUCACAUGUGAAAUGAAAAAUGCCUUAUUAUCGGUGGAUGCCUUAUUAUCGGGGAGGUCUUAUU